This 577-nucleotide ribosomal RNA is filed under the name uncultured fungus. RNAcentral's name for it is "bacterial SSU rRNA". It matches the Rfam family "Eukaryotic small subunit ribosomal RNA", at positions 555 to 1136 of the family's 1831-position model. Lineage: Eukaryota; Fungi. The record is from RNAcentral.
GCAAGUCUGGUGCCAGCAGCCGCGGUAAUUCCAUGCUCGUGAUAGAAUGCUCGUAGUAGUCCAGUGAAAAAGCUCGUAGUUGAAACUUGGGCCUGGAUGUCGCUGACGAUGCUCGUGAUGCACUCGUCCGGCCGGGCCUCUCCUUCUGAAGAACCUCAUGCCCUUCACUGGGCGUGCUGGGAAUCAGGAUGUCGACUUUGAAAAAAUUAGAGUGAUGCUCGCAGGCCUUAUGCUCGUGAUAGUAAUGUCGCUCAAUAGAAUAGGGCGUGCGUUUCUAUUUUGUUGGUUUCUAGGACCGCCGCAAAUGCUCACAGGAACAGUCGGAUGCUCGUAGAUGCAGUUGUCAGAGGUGAAAUUCUUAUGCUCGUAUGAAGACUAACUACUGCAUGCUGGCUUGCCAAGGAUGUUUUCAUUAAUCAGUGAACGAAAUGCGCGCUGUAGAAGACGAUCAGAUACCGUCGUAGUCUUAACCGUAUGCUCGUGAUGCUAGGGAUCGGGCGAUGUUCUUUUUCUGACACGCUCGAUGCUGCCUGAGAAAUCAAAGUUUUUGGGUUCUGGUGGGAGUAUGGUCGCAAGG